AUUGAACGCUGGCGGCAGGCCUAACACAUGCAAGUCGAACGAGAGGCGGACGGGUGAGUAAUGUCUGGGAAACUGCCCGAUGGAGGGGGAUAACUACUGGAAACGGUAGCUAAUACCGCAUACCAUCGGAUGUGCCCAGAUGGGAUUAGCUAGUAGGUGUGGUAACGGCUUACCUAGUCGACGAUCCCUAGCUGAUCUGAGAGGAUGACCAGCCACACUGGAACUGAGACACGGUCCAGACUCCUACGGGAGGCAGCAGUGGGGAAUAUUGAACAAUGGGCGCAAGCCUGAUGCAGCCAUGCCGCGUGUAGGAAGAAGGCCUUCGGGUUGUAAAGUACUUUCAGCGAGGAGGCGUUGCUCGCAGAUGAAGCACCGGCUAACUCCGUGCCAGCAGCCGCGGUAAUUC
RNAcentral lists this ribosomal RNA (406 nucleotides) under uncultured bacterium. RNAcentral describes it as "partial 16S ribosomal RNA". It matches the Rfam family "Bacterial small subunit ribosomal RNA", at positions 30 to 526 of the family's 1533-position model. The record is from RNAcentral.